This 26-nucleotide small RNA is filed under the name Archaeoglobus fulgidus. The record is from RNAcentral. Lineage: Archaea; Methanobacteriati; Methanobacteriota; Archaeoglobi; Archaeoglobales; Archaeoglobaceae.
CUCGCUUUCAAAGGAGGAGAAGAAGA